CGAACCCAGUGCCUCAUGCAUGCUAGUCAAGCACUGUACCACUGAGCCACAACCUCAGCCCCUUCACGCGCCCUUUUAUGCUUUACAUUUGGUGCUGAAACCUGGGAGGAGUUCGAGCCUCUUCUCAGCCCUUUCUCCCCCAACCCUUAGGGUCUGAGGCUGCUCCUCUCCACUGAAGGAACCAGCCAAAGGAACGACUGGAUCCCUAGACCACUUGCCCUCAUCAGAUCCAGCAGAGUGGGGAUGGAUUGAGGCUUUCCCAACCUCUCAAAAGACAACAAACACCGUGGCCUUAGUCCUCAUUGAGCAGAUCAUCCCAGGUUCGGCCUUCCAAUGUUCAUCCAGUCAGACAAUGGCCCUGCCUUCACUUCUCAGAUAAUCAACAGGUCUCAGAAAGCCUCAGCAUCUCCUGGAAACUUCACAUUCCUUACAGGCUGCAGUCCUAGGGUCCCCCGACCUGAAAGACGCUGCCUAAUCCCUACUGCUGGCGUUUCCAGCUACAGGAGACCUGGGAUGGUAAGACCCAGACAUUAGGAACUGGCGAUUGCCAACAUGCUGGUUGCCAGACAGUUGUCUCCAUUCUACUAACCAGCCUCAGUCUUUCCGGCCAAGCAUCCUUCCUCUGCCUCCUCUGUGACCAAACCAAGCGGUACUGCAAGUCCCGACCAGAUAUUUACGGAGGAUGCCCUCACACUUCCUGCAAUAUGCACAAGCUCAGAGAGACCACCCAAACCCAAUUCCUAUAUGCCUAUUCUGGAGGUAGGACCUAUCUGAACAUCAGAGAUCCCUGAGACAAUUGCUGGGCAGCAGGAGUAGAGAGAAAGCUGUACAUAUGGCCCUGGGACAUUUCCCCCUCCGGAACUCUUAAGAGUUUCCACACCUACGCUUGAGUGAUUCCUCAGCUCCACCAAUAAAUCCUCCAGAAAAAAACUGCCCUCAUUCACCACUAGGGGCACACGAGGCAGAGAAGGGAGACCAUUUUUAUUUCUGGCCCUUGUACAAUGUCAGAGGUUACAACUCCUAAACUACUCCAGUGUCAAUAAUAUUUCUGAUUGUUUUCUGUGUGCUGCUCUAAAUCACCCCCUUUAACGGCAGUCCCUCUGACCUUUCCUCUUAACAUCUUCCUCUGCCUCUGACGGGGAUCCCCCUCUUUGACAAUCCCCCGCAGCACCAGCAAAAUCUUUCCAUCUGCUAUGCCUCCCAAACUGUCUCCAGAUGCAACUGACUAUUAUGGUGUCCUCCCAAGUCCCAGCACCCCCAGGAAUUUUCUUUUGGUGAGACAUUGAUGAAAGUCAUCAACUCCUCCUUUCUGUACCCCUGUCACCCCAGUUCCUCAACUUACAUUCUCUGGACAGGCUGAGUUUCUCUCAUUGAGCCUGCCUCCACCCACUAGAUCUAAACGGGCUGCCUUUCUUCCAGUGAUCAUAGGCAUAUUCCUCUUGCCUCAUCUCUGGCUGCCUCAGGUAUCGGGGCCAGGGCAUCAGGCAAUAGCUUAACCACAACUGAAGAGCUUGAAGAAAAAUUACAGCUAGUGAUUGAAGCCUCUGCCAACUUUCUGGCAUCUCUCCCAAGACAAAUAACAUCGCUCCAAAACAGGCAGGUCCUAGACCUACUCGUUGAUGACAAAGUGGUACCUGUUUGUUCCUCAGGGAAGAAUGUUGCUCUGACAUCAAUGAGACCAGCCUAGUAGAAGAAAACAUCGAUGUGCUACAACAGCUGAGUGAAGAACUGAAACGAAGGCAGCAGCAGUCUACCUCAUUCCUCCUGGGAUGGUAUAACUCAGCCCUCGCUGCUUGGUUGGGUCUGAUUGUUGGCCUCAUCCUUAUGACCUGUGUCUUGCUAAUGAUUGCUCCUUGUCUUAGAUUUAUCCAAAACCGCAUCAGCAAAGUCUCAUGGGUGGCAGUUAUUCAGAUGCUCCUCCACCCCUACAGCCACCUUCCCAAUAAGCCCCCAACUCUUGACCUUCCCUAGACAAUGCCCCCCUACCAGCAGGAAGUAGCCAGAUUAGAACCACACCCUAUAACAUCAAAGAGGUCGGGAUGUCCAGCCAGCAGCUUUCCCUUCAUUUUCCCUUCCCCUUUCCCCUCCCCAUCCCAUGGUGGCCAUAGGCAGGGACUUUUCACCUGGCUGAAGAGACCUGGGCCUUAAACUUGCCCCUAAACUCUGCUUGGCCAACCCGCUAACAGUAGUAACAAUUUAGUUGGUCUAGGCCCUCCUACCUCUAGUGACCUAUAUAGAUAUUGUUUUCGCCUCCGGCUCGUGCGACUUCCCCAGCCGUCACCCUUUCAUGGACGGGUGAAACUCGCCCCAGAGCAUCCCCCCUUCCCAAUAAAACUCCUUUUGAUAUCUUA
This is a non-coding RNA of Ictidomys tridecemlineatus (thirteen-lined ground squirrel), 2351 nucleotides long. The record is from RefSeq and is a predicted model, not a curated record. NCBI's taxonomy places the organism in Eukaryota, Metazoa, Chordata, Mammalia, Rodentia, Sciuridae.